AUGGUGGCGGUGAAAACCCUGAACGCCAAGACCAAGGUGGCCCGAGCGCAGGCGGCGUUGGCGGUCAACAUCAGUGCUGCGCGGGGUCUGCAGGACGUGCUAAGGACCAACCUAGGACCCAAGGGCACCGUGAAGAUGCUCGUUUCUGGCGCUGGAGACAUCGAACUUACUAAAGAUGGCAAUGUGCUGCUUCACGAAAUGCAAGUUCAACAUCCAACAGCUUCCUUAAUAGCAAAGGUAGCAACAGGCCAGGAUGAUAUAACUGGUGAUGCUACGACUUCCAAUGUGCUAAUCAUUGGAGAGCUACUGAAACAGGCGGAUCUCUACAUUUCUGAAGGCCUUCAUGCCUGAAUAAUCGCUGAAGAAUUUGAAGCUGCAAAGGAAAAGGCCCUUCAGUUUUUGGAAGAAGUCAAGUAAGCAGAGAGAUGGACAGGGAAGCACUUACAGAUAUGGCCAGAACAUCUCUUCCUACUAAAGUUCAUGCUGAACUUGUAGAUGUCUUAACAGAGGCUGUAGUGGACUCCAUUUUGCCCAUUAAAAAAUAAGAUGAACCUAUUGAUCUCUUCAUGAUUGAGAUCAUGGAGAUGAAACAUAAAUCUGAAACUGAUACAAGCUUAAUCAGAGGGCUUGUUUUGGACCACGGAGCACGGCAUCCUCAUAUGAAGAAAAGGGUGGAAGAUGAAUACGUCCUCACCUGUAACGUAUCAUUAGAGUAUGAAAAAACAGAAGUGAAUUAUGGCUCUUUUUUUUACAAAAGUGCAGAAGAGAGAGAAAAACUCAAGAAAGCUUAAAGAAAAUUCAUUGAAGAUAGAG
Non-coding RNA from Chlorocebus sabaeus (green monkey), 813 nucleotides. Lineage: Eukaryota; Metazoa; Chordata; Mammalia; Primates; Cercopithecidae. The record is from RefSeq and is a predicted model, not a curated record.